GAUGAACGCUGGCGGCGUGCCUAAUACAUGCAAGUCGAGCGAACAGACGAGGAGCUUGCUCCUCUGACGUUAGCGGCGGACGGGUGAGUAACACGUGGAUAACCUACCUAUAAGACUGGGAUAACUUCGGGAAACCGGAGCUAAUACCGGAUAAUAUAUUGAACCGCAUGGUUCAAUAGUGAAAGACGGUUUUGCUGUCACUUAUAGAUGGAUCCGCGCCGCAUUAGCUAGUUGGUAAGGUAACGGCUUACCAAGGCGACGAUGCGUAGCCGACCUGAGAGGGUGAUCGGCCACACUGGAACUGAGACACGGUCCAGACUCCUACGGUAGGCAGCAGUAGGGAAUCUUCCGCAAUGGGCGAAAGCCUGACGGAGCAACGCCGCGUGAGUGAUGAAGGUCUUCGGAUCGUAAAACUCUGUUAUUAGGGAAGAACAAAUGUGUAAGUAACUAUGCACGUCUUGACGGUACCUAAUCAGAAAGCCACGGCUAACUACGUG
RNAcentral lists this ribosomal RNA (497 nucleotides) under uncultured bacterium. RNAcentral describes it as "partial 16S ribosomal RNA". It matches the Rfam family "Bacterial small subunit ribosomal RNA", at positions 28 to 507 of the family's 1533-position model. The record is from RNAcentral.